RNAcentral lists this unclassified non-coding RNA (352 nucleotides) under soil metagenome. Its description in RNAcentral is "partial contains 5.8S ribosomal RNA, internal transcribed spacer 2, and large subunit ribosomal RNA". The stretch from base 1 to 120 matches the Rfam family "5.8S ribosomal RNA", at positions 35 to 154 of the family's 154-position model. The record is from RNAcentral.
GAUGAAGAACGUAGCGAAAUGCGAUAAGUAAUGUGAAUUGCAGAAUUCAGUGAAUCAUCGAGUCUUUGAACGCACAUUGCGCCCGCCAGCACUCUGGCGGGCAUGCCUGUCCGAGCGUCAUUUCAACCCUCGCGCCGUCCCUCCAGGGGGCUCGGCGCGGUGUUGGGGGACACGGCCCCGGCCGCCCCCGAAAUGCAGUGGCGACCCCGCCGCGGCCCCUCCAGCGCAGUAAGCACGCUCGCUACGGGAGGCCCGGUGGACGCGUCCGCCGUAAAACGCCCAACUCUUCAGAAGUUGACCUCGGAUCAGGUAGGGAUACCCGCUGAACUUAAGCAUAUCAAUAAGCGGAGGA